Molecule: long non-coding RNA, 2631 nt
Organism: Apteryx owenii (little spotted kiwi)
Lineage: Eukaryota; Metazoa; Chordata; Aves; Apterygiformes; Apterygidae
Source: Ensembl
GAUUGUUCAGUCCAUUUAUAGCUCAAUCGGACUUGUUUUUCCAGUAAAAUUGGAUCUUGGGUCAAAAUCAGUGUAUGGUAAGCCACCAGGAGGCGUGUUGAUAAAGCCAGCAGUGAAGGCAGUGACAGACCAGUGAGCAGACGAGGGUCCGUUCAAGAUGAAGCUGUUUCUGGCUCUUCUGUUUGUUGCUGUCGCUGGUGUGGAGUUUGGUAAGGUUCUGCUCUGACUUAUCCAAACUCCUGCAGGGGAUGCAGAGUGAUGGGAUGGGCUGUGUCCUGCUCCCAGUGAAGUCCAUGUCUUUCACUUUGAGCAAUUUUAGGCAAAGAUCUGUCUUUGGGRUAUUUCCAACCUGUUGGAUGUUAAGGAUCACUGUCGUAUAGCUGGGAUUGUUACUUUAGGCUCUUUAGGAAGUGUUACAAGAUGAAAUGUGAUUAUAUGGUAUCAUUUCUUUAAUCCAAGCUUCAACUCUCACUUUUAACAUGUUUUCUUGCUUAAUCUGACUCUCCUCUUCUGUCUUUUUAACUUUCUGUUCUGCUUGUGAGACAAAGUGAGCUAGCCUGUUUGAUGCAUUGUGUGUAACGGCUCUCUCUAAUUAUAUGUUGCAUAUAUAAAGCUCAGCCAUUAGAAGUGAGAAAGAUGGGCUAGGACACAAAGCUGGUGUCCUAGGUACUGCAGGGCUGAUUUUUCCAGUCCAUCAUGGUCUGAGUGGAGCCAAGGACAAUUUCAGCAGUCCACCUGUGAAAACAUCAAGGGUGAAGUGUUUUGGAGUGUUUCCUCAUUCACAGGUGGAUUUGGGAUGUUGUGCUGGAGUUUGCCACUAUGGGGAGUGACCCCCUACCAUCCUCCUGCCUCCCUUCUGUCCCAAUUGGGCAACCUACCAUCUCACUGAAGGGGGUGGGCUUGAAGCACACCAUCAAGUGGGCAGACCAACAGCAACCCAGCAUUGGGGGUGACUCUUCUGGGACGUGGAGGAAGGGAACAAGCCCCAUGAGCCCUGUCUGCUCAGGGAUACCACACAGACCUGAUCCCUUCAUUUCCAUCAAUGGGAUUCAAUUGCUUCUCUUCCAUUACCGGGUCCAUGAGUCCAGAGAAGGUCUGUCCUGCUCUGAUCAUUGGUAGUCCAAAGCCUCUAGGGGCUUGUGUUGUGCAAAGAGCAAUGGGUGCCUCAUGCUCACCAGAGCUGCUGCAGCAGAGACCAGUCAUCAACAGUCUCCAGAGCAGGAGAUAUUUUCUUUCAUCAUUGCAUUCUGGUGUGUUUGUUCUUCAAUGGAGAGACAACAAUUCAGAGAGGAACAUCACUAAUCAAUAGAGGAUGGCUUGGAGAGAAAGGACUCUGUGGUCAGAUCUCCCUAAGACUAGGGAAAGGAUCAUCUAGAAGGAAGAAUGGACAACGAUGGGGUGGGACACAAAUUUGGUCUAGGAUUCACUCACCAGCUUAGCUUUGCCAAUCUGUCUAAUGAGAGCGUGACAAAAGUUGAGCAACUGGGGAGCAGAAGCUCCUGCUGUGGCCCAGUGCUGCCACAUUUCUCUCUCCUGUCCUGUCCCACCUCCCUGUCCCAUUCAGGUAGCCAUGGACAGGACAGAUGCUCUGAUUUGUCAGGCAAAUGCUAGCAAAACUUGGAAAAUGCAGAGUGGAUUCUGCAGAACAAAAUUUUUCUUUUACACACUCUCACCUCUGCAAAGCUGGGAUAAAACUUUGACAUAUCCACAAUUCCUUCAAGCUUUCUCCUGGGCAUGAACAGAAUCUGUGUAAUUUUGGCAUUUUCUAGAGGGACAGUCAGAGGUGAAGGAUGAAAGAUCUGACAAUAUCCAAGUGAAGCUGGUAAAAUCUUCUCUAAGAAAUUCUGCUAAUUUAUCGUCCCUCUGCUUUCAGCUCCCCUAAAAGGAUGUGCUGUCACUAAAUUGAAAUACUUUAGCCUUUUACAUUUCCCUCUUCUUUUAAAGAAGCCUCACAAUUUGUCUCAAUCCAUUUUCACACUGUGAUUUCCUUUUUAAUCUACUGCACGUCUGCUUGUCUAUGUGUAAGUUCAUAAGUUCUUAAAACGAGAAGGAACCACUAAGUCUGUUAUCUACCUCCCUUCACAAAUAGGCCAGAUAGAUAGAUUUUCCUGAGCUUGCUUAAAACAAGGCUUUUAGACACCACAUCUUAAAGUGUCCAAGUCACAGUGUCUCCUCCCUGCUCUCUGAGAUGCCAUGUGAACUUUGCUUCUGGAGAGCUGCAUCACUUGCAAAAGUAAAGUUGUUCCAUUCCAGCUUAUUGUAUUAAACAUUUCUCUAUCUGAUAUCUUUUCCAUUUCUAAAGAAAGCUAUUCUUAUGACUAUAGCUACUAUUAAAUGUAUUUAACAAUGUCUGAGUAAGGUCAAUGAAAAUAUCUGGUUUGCACAUGUUGGGGUCAAUGCUUUAUUUAUUUAAGGUUCCUUGGUGCAUAUUCUUUGGUAUUGACUUUGACUUGUCCGAUGUUGAUUAUCAAGAAAUGAGAAUAAUGACAAAGCUUCCUCCCUAAAGCUGUAUUUAACAGCUGUCAGAUGUAGAAUUAAACUGUAAGCAAAACAUCAGACCACAAUGAGAAAAGCAGAAUAAUCAGGCAAGCUUUGAAUAAAGGCAGGAGAAUUGCUGGGUCUAUUUAUAUA